GAUGAACGCUGGCGGCGUGCUUAACACAUGCAAGUCGAACGAAGCAUUUAGGACAGAUUACUUCGGUUUGAAGUUCUUUAUGACUGAGUGGCGGACGGGUGAGUAACGCGUGGGUAACCUGCCUUGUACUGGGGGAUAGCAGCUGGAAACGGCUGGUAAUACCGCAUAAGCGCACAAUGUUGCAUGACAUGGUGUGAAAAACUCCGGUGGUAUAAGAUGGACCCGCGUCUGAUUAGCUAGUUGGUGAGAUAACAGCCCACCAAGGCGACGAUCAGUAGCCGACCUGAGAGGGUGACCGGCCACAUUGGGACUGAGACACGGCCCAGACUCCUACGGGAGGCAGCAGUGGGAAAUAUUGCACAAUGGAGGAAACUCUGAUGCAGCGACGCCGCGUGAGUGAAGAAGUAAUUCGUUAUGUAAAGCUCUAUCAGCAGGGAAGAUAGUGACGGUACCUGACUAAGAAGCUCCGGCUAAAUACGUG
This 481-nucleotide ribosomal RNA is filed under the name uncultured bacterium. RNAcentral describes it as "partial 16S ribosomal RNA". It matches the Rfam family "Bacterial small subunit ribosomal RNA", at positions 28 to 507 of the family's 1533-position model. The record is from RNAcentral.